UACGUAGGGUGCAAGCGUUAAUCGGAGUUACUGGGCGUAAAGCGUGCGCAGGCGGUUUUGUAAGUCUGUCGUGAAAUCCCCGGGCUUAACCUGGGAAUGGCGAUGGAGACUGCAAGGCUAGAGUUUGGCAGAGGGGGGUAGAAUUCCACGUGUAGCAGUGAAAUGCGUAGAGAUGUGGAGGAACACCGAUGGCGAAGGCAGCCCCCUGGGUCAAGACUGACGCUCAUGCACGAAAGCGUGGGGAGCAAACAGG
Molecule: ribosomal RNA, 253 nt
Filed under: uncultured bacterium
Lineage: Bacteria
Description: partial 16S ribosomal RNA
Rfam family: Bacterial small subunit ribosomal RNA
Source: RNAcentral